This 468-nucleotide ribosomal RNA is filed under the name uncultured bacterium. RNAcentral's name for it is "partial 16S ribosomal RNA". It matches the Rfam family "Bacterial small subunit ribosomal RNA", at positions 28 to 507 of the family's 1533-position model. The record is from RNAcentral.
GACGAACGCUGGCGGCGUGCUUAACACAUGCGAGUCGAGCGGAAAGGCCCUGCUUUUGUGGGGUGCUCGAGUGGCGAACGGGUGAGUAACAAGUGCGUAACCUGCCCUUGACUUUGGGGUAACUUCAGGAAACUGGGGCUAAUACCUGAUAGGUACUCCCGCUGCAUGGUGGGGGGGGGAAAUGUACGGCGGUUUGGGUUGGAAUAGUGGCUUUUCAGCUGGGUGGUGGGGUAGUGGCGUACGAAGGCGUUGACGGGUAGCCGGCCUGAGAGGGUGACCGGCCACAUUGGGACUGGGGUAGGGCCCGGAGGCAUACGGGAGGCAGCAGUGGGAAAUAUUGCAAGAUGGGCGGAAGCAGGAUGGAGCAACGCCGCGUGCGGGAUGACGGCCUUUGGGUUGGAAACGGCUUUCGGCGGUGAGGAAGCGUGAGUGACGGUACUGGGUAAAGAAGCACCGGCUAACUACGUG